UACGGCGGGGGCUAGCGUUGUUCGGAAUUACUGGGCGUAAAGCGCACGUAGGCGGUUUUUUGAGUCAGAGGUGAAAGCCCGGAGCUCAACUCCGGAAUUGCCUUUGAGACUGGGAGACUUGAAUCCAGGAGAGGUGAGUGGAAUUCCGAGUGUAGAGGUGAAAUUCGUAGAUAUUAGGAAGAACACCGGUGGCGAAGGCGGCCCACUGGAUCGGUACUGACGCUGAGGUGCGAAAGCGUGGGGAGCAAACAGG
Molecule: ribosomal RNA, 253 nt
Filed under: uncultured bacterium
Lineage: Bacteria
Description: partial 16S ribosomal RNA
Rfam family: Bacterial small subunit ribosomal RNA
Source: RNAcentral